GACGGCCUUCGGGUUGUAAACCUCUUUUAGUAGGGAAGAAGCGAAAGUGACGGUACCUGCAGAAAAAGCACCGGCUAACUACGUGCCAGCAGCCGCGGUAAUACGUAGGGUGCAAGCGUUGUCCGGAAUUAUUGGGCGUAAAGAGCUCGUAGGCGGUUUGUCGCGUCUGCUGUGAAAUCUGGGGGCUCAACCCCCAGCCUGCAGUGGGUACGGGCAGACUAGAGUGCGGUAGGGGAGAUUGGAAUUCCUGGUGUAGCGGUGGAAUGCGCAGAUAUCAGGAGGAACACCGAUGGCGAAGGCAGAUCUCUGGGCCGUAACUGACGCUGAGGAGCGAAAGCGUGGGGAGCGAACAGGAUUAGAUACCCUGGUAGUCCACGCCGUAAACGUUGGGAACUAGAUGUGGGGACCAUUCCACGGUCUCCGUGUCGCAGCUAACGCAUUAAGUUCCCCGCCUGGGGAGUACGGCCGCAAGGCUAAAACUCAAAGGAAUUGACGGGGGCCCGCACAAGCGGCGGAGCAUGCGGAUUAAUUCGAUGCAACGCGAAGAACCUUACCAAGGCUUGACAUAUACCGGAAACGGCCAGAGAUGGUCGCCCCGCAAGGUCGGUAUACAGGUGGUGCAUGGUUGUCGUCAGCUCGUGUCGUGAGAUGUUGGGUUAAGUCCCGCAACGAGCGCAACCCUCGUUCUAUGUUGCCAGCACGUUAUGGUGGGAACUCAUAGGAGACUGCCGGGGUCAACUCGGAGGAAGGUGGGGAUGACGUCAAAUCAUCAUGCCCCUUAUGUCUUGGGCUUCACGCAUGCUACAAUGGCCGGUACAAAGGGCUGCGAUACCGUAAGGUGGAGCGAAUCCCAAAAAGCCGGUCUCAGUUCGGAUUGAGGUCUGCAACUCGACCUCAUGAAGUCGGAGUCGCUAGUAAUCGCAGAUCAGCAACGCUGCGGUGAAUACGUUCCCGGGCCUUGUACACACCGCCCGUCAA
This 978-nucleotide ribosomal RNA is filed under the name Frigoribacterium sp. RNAcentral's name for it is "bacterial SSU rRNA". It matches the Rfam family "Bacterial small subunit ribosomal RNA", at positions 410 to 1400 of the family's 1533-position model. Lineage: Bacteria; Bacillati; Actinomycetota; Actinomycetes; Micrococcales; Microbacteriaceae. The record is from RNAcentral.